UGCACCGAGGCAAGUCCUACACAACCAGCUCCUGGUCAAUCCCCCAGGGUGGGAACACAGCAAGGGUAUCCGGUUGUAGCGGUGUGAUGUAGUCAGCUUGCCUUUUU
Non-coding RNA from Moheibacter sediminis, 107 nucleotides. It matches the Rfam family "Bacteroidales small SRP". Rfam says of the family: The non-coding component of the signal recognition particle in Bacteroides Lineage: Bacteria; Pseudomonadati; Bacteroidota; Flavobacteriia; Flavobacteriales; Weeksellaceae. The record is from Rfam.